RNAcentral lists this ribosomal RNA (795 nucleotides) under uncultured bacterium. RNAcentral's name for it is "bacterial SSU rRNA". It matches the Rfam family "Bacterial small subunit ribosomal RNA", at positions 8 to 796 of the family's 1533-position model. The record is from RNAcentral.
AGAGUUUGAUCAUGGCUCAGAUUGAACGCUGGCGGCGUGCUUAACACAUGCAAGUCGAGCGGUAACAGGCGUAGCAAUACGUGCUGACGAGCGGCGAACGGGUGAGUAAUGCUUCGGAAUCUUCCUCGUAGUGGGGAAUAACCUGGGGAAACUCAGGCUAAUACCGCAUACGAACUACGGUUGAAAGCGGGGGAUCGCAAGACCUCGCGCUAUGAGAUGAGCCGAAGUCGGAUUAGCUAGUUGGUGGGGUAACGGCCUACCAAGGCGACGAUCCGUAGCUGGUCUGAGAGGACGACCAGCCACACUGGGACUGAGACACGGCCCAGACUCCUACGGGAGGCAGCAGUGGGGAAUAUUGGACAAUGGGCGCAAGCCUGAUCCAGCGACGCCGCGUGUGUGAAGAAGGCCUGCGGGUUGUAAAGCACUUUUAGUGGGGAUGAAAAGCCGAAGGCUAAUACCUUUCGGUCUUGACCUAACCCAAAGAAAAAGCACCGGCUAACUCUGUGCCAGCAGCCGCGGUAAUACAGAGGGUGCAAGCGUUAAUCGGAAUUACUGGGCGUAAAGCGUGCGUAGUCGGUUAUUCAAGUCGGGUGUGAAAGCCCCGGGCUCAACCUGGGAAUUGCAUUCGAUACUGUUUAGCUAGAGUUCGGCAGAGGGAAGCGGAAUUUCCGGUGUAGCGGUGAAAUGCGUAGAUAUCGGAAGGAACAUCAGUGGCGAAAGCGGCUUCCUGGACCAGAACUGACGAUCAGGCACGAAAGCGUGGGGAGCAAACAGGAUUAGAUACCCUAGUAGUCC